Oncorhynchus tshawytscha (Chinook salmon) is the source of this 1431-nucleotide long non-coding RNA. The record is from Ensembl. NCBI's taxonomy places the organism in Eukaryota, Metazoa, Chordata, Actinopteri, Salmoniformes, Salmonidae.
UGCAUCUCUCCCUGGUCCCUAUCCAUCUCUCCCUGGUCCCUAUCCAUCUCUCCCUGGUCCCUAUCCAUCUCUCCCUGGUCUCUAUUCAUCUCCCCUGGACUCUAUUCAUCUCUCCAUCUCUCCCUGGUCCCUAUCCAUCUCUCCCUGGUCCCUAUCCAUCUCUCCCUGGUCCCUAUCCAUCUCUCCCUGGUCCCUAUCCAUCUCUCCCUGGUCCCUAUCCAUCUCUCCCUGGCCUCUAUCCAUCUCUCCCUGGUCCCUAUCCAUCUCUCCCUGGCCUCUAUCCAUCUCUCCCUGGCCUCUAUCCAUCUCUCCCUGGUCCCUAUCCAUCUCUCCCUGGUCUCUAUUCAUCUCUCCCUGGUUUCUAUCCAUCUCUCCCUGGUCUCUAUUCAUCUCUCCAUCUCUCCCUGGUCCCUAUCCAUCUCUCCCUGGUCCCUAUCCAUCUCUCCCUGGUCUCUCCCUGGUCUCUCCCUGGUCUCUCUCCCUGGUCCCUAUCCAUCUCUCCCUGGUCUCUAUUCAUCUCUCCCUGGACUCUAUUCAUCUCUCCCUGGUCUCUCUCCCUCUCUCCCUGGACUCUAUUCAUCUCUCCCUGGACUCUAUUCAUCUCUCCCUCUCUCCCCGGACUUCAUCUCUCCCAGACUCUAUUCAUCUCUCCCUCUCUCCCCGGACUCUAUUCAUCCCUCUCCCCCUCUUUCCCUGGGAUCCAUCCAUCUCUCCCCUUCUCCCUGACCAAACGAGGAGGAGAGGAGGAGAGAGGCUACUAAUAAAGGACGAGUCCUGUACCAAUCCUGUACCAAUCCUGUACCAAUCCUGUACCAGUCCUGUACAACCCUGUACCAACCCUGUACCAACCCUGUACCAGUCCUGCACCAAUCCUGUACCAGUCCUGUACCAAUCCUGUACCAGUCCUGUACCAGUCCUGUACCAAUCCUGUACCAGUCCUGUACCAAUCCUGUACCAGUCCUGUACCAAUCCUGUACCAGUCCUGUACCAAUCCUGUACCAGUCCUGUACCAAUCCUGUACCAAUCCUGUACCAGUCCUGCACCAAUCAUGGAUGGAAUGGAUCCUCUGUGCCAUAAUAACUGAGAGAGAGAGAGACACACGGGUCUGUUGGGUCGAUAGAACCACUAAAGACAACAUUAAAGAGAGAUGUCAAACAUUUUUUUUACAACUUCAAAUUCAUCAUCUCCAUCACCACCUCAACGUCAACGUGUGAGAAAAUGACGCGUUUCUAUUUUUGUUGUUGUAGUAAACAAUAUAAUUACGAGCGUUGCCAAUGACAUGCAAUGGCUCCUCCAUAAUUGUUUAAAAUCACAUGAUGCACACUGAUGAUGUCAUUGGAGACACUUGUCUUCUUCUUUAAAGAAGAAAGGCUUCAUUUACACACAUGUUGAUGUUGGUGCUGCAUGAUGAAUAUAAAAUAUAAAUAUUUG